Long non-coding RNA from Pseudophryne corroboree (corroboree frog), 1712 nucleotides. RefSeq lists it as uncharacterized. The record is from RefSeq and is a predicted model, not a curated record. The transcript is spliced from 2 exons. Lineage: Eukaryota; Metazoa; Chordata; Amphibia; Anura; Myobatrachidae.
CUGGCUGUCACUCUAGUCUGAGGCAGCUACAGUGCAUAAUCCGUAUGGGCUUCAUGCCCAGGGUCGGAUUAGCUAUGCCACAGUAGUGUUUACCCGAGAGUGUGGGCGUGGCUGAUGUAUGUGGCUGGCCAGGCGUGUCUUCUACUUCUGCCUGCUGCUAAAUACUGCUGUUUGCAAAGCUGCGUGAGAAACUGCUAAUGAACUGCUGAUAAAUAAUAGGCAAGGGGUGGGGUCUGGUUGCCUGGAAACCCCCCUCCUCUUGGCAAGUGGCUCAAAUUAUGACGAGCAAUUGUAUAUAAUAUGAUUACUAGAGCUGCAACCAUAUCAAGCAUCUUAAGGGACAAAGCAGAGCUGCUGCAUAUGCCCGGUGGUAGCAGUUUUUUUCUACCAAGUAUGCUGUGUGUGUGUGGAUCUGAGUCCUCAAUCAAUGCAUUGGACCAGAGAGUGGCUUCCAGGACAAAGAGACAGAAGCCUUACCAUGAGAGUGGGAGAUUGUGGAUUGCAUUUGAAAACCUUCCUCUAGAAAUUCUGCGUUUCUGUGGCCUGAGGAAGGGAAACCGAUACGCGAUGCCAAUGGAGGGAACCCAAGUGGAAAUGCCCCUUGCCAUCUGCUCCUGGGGACAAAGGACUGCUAUCUUUGUAGAAUAACCGGGACUCUAAUUAUGGGGGUAAUUCCAAGUUGAUCGCAGCAGAAUUUUUUUUAGCAGUUGGGCAAAACCAUGUGCACUGCAGGGGGGGCAGAUAUAACAUUUGCAGAAAGAGUUAGAUUUGAGUGGGUUAUAGUGUUUCUGUGCAGGGUAAAUACUGGCUGCUUUAAUGUUACACUGCAAAUUAGAUUGCAGAUUGAACACACCACACCCAAAUCUAACUCUCUCUGCACAUGUUAAAUCUGCCUCCCCUGUAGUGCACAUGGGCCCUCAUUCCGAGUUUUUUGCUCGCUAGCCGCUUUUCGCAGCAGUGCACACGCUAAGCCGCCGCCCUCUGGGAGUGAAUCUUAGCUUAGCAGAAUUGCGAACGAAAGAAUCGCAAUAUUGCGAAAAGAUUUUUCUGUGCAGUUUCUGAGUAGCUCGAGACUUACUCUUCCAGUGCGAUCAGUUCAGUGCUUGUCGUUCCUGGUUUGACGUCACAAACACACCCAGCGUUCGCCCAGACACUCCCCCGUUUCUCCAGCCACUCCCGCGUUUUUCCCAGAAACGGCAGCGUUUUUUCACACACACCCAUAAAACAGCCAGUUUCCGCCCAGAAACACCCACUUCCUGUCAAUCACACUACGAUCACCAGAACGAAGAAAAAACCUCGUAAUGCCGUGAGUAAAAUACCAAACUUCUUAGCAAAUUUACUUGGCGCAGCCGCAGUGCGAACAUUGCGCAGUUAGCAGAAAAUCGCACCGAUGCGAAGGAAAAUAGUGAGCGAACAACUCGGAAUGAGGGCCAUGGUUUUGCCCAACUGCUAAAAAAUUUCCUGCUGCGAUCAACUUGGAAUUACCCCCUAUGUGCAAGUCUGAUUUCUCGCUCAGACAUUUAUCCAUCUGGGAGGCGUGCAAUUUCACUAGGUUUUUUCCCUUUCUUUGUAUUUGUUUUAUAUGUAUUUUUAAGUGUAUAUUAAAAAGUAUUUGAUUCAGUAUCACAGUAUGCAAAAUAUAUAUAUUUUCUCCAUAUAAAUCCGCUGCAGUUCUGCUGCAGACACUGCAAUAAAGAAAAUUCACUAUUUGA